This 71-nucleotide transfer RNA is filed under the name Crassvirales sp. RNAcentral describes it as "tRNA-Gln". It matches the Rfam family "tRNA". From Rfam's summary of the family: Transfer RNA (tRNA) molecules are approximately 80 nucleotides in length. The record is from RNAcentral. Lineage: Duplodnaviria; Heunggongvirae; Uroviricota; Caudoviricetes; Crassvirales.
UGGCUUUUAGUGUAAUGGUAACACAGUAGAUUUUGGUUCUACUAUUAUAAGUUCAAGUCUUAUAGAGCCAA